GUCUUUUUGUAUUAAAUUAAAAGUCUAAUCUGCCCACUGAAAUUUUUAAAUGGCCGCAGUAUUUUAACUGUGCAAAGGUAGCAUAAUCAUUAGUCUUUUAAUUAAGGGCUUGUAUGAAUGAUUGGACGAGAUAUAAACUGUCUCAUAAAAAAUAGUUUGAAUUUUAUUUUUUAGUCAAAAAGCUAAAAUAUAUUUAAAAGACGAGAAGACCCUAUAGAUCUUGAUAAAAAUUAUAAUUAUUUUUUGUAGUUAUUUUUUGAAUUAUUAUAUUUUUUUUAUUUUAUUGGGGUGAUAUUAAAAUUUACAUAACUUUUAAUAAUUAAAAACCAUUAAUUUAUGAUUAAUUGAUCCUUUAUUAUUGAUUAAAAAUUUAAGUUACCUUAGGGAUAACAGCGUAAUUAUUUUGGAGAGUUCUUAUCAAUAAAAUAGAUUGCGACCUCGAUGUUGGAUUAAGAUUAAUUUUAGGUGUAGAAGCUUAAAAAAUUAAGUCUGUUCGACUUUUAAUUUCUU
This 510-nucleotide ribosomal RNA is filed under the name Liancalus virens. Its description in RNAcentral is "partial 16S ribosomal RNA". The stretch from base 386 to 510 matches the Rfam family "Bacterial large subunit ribosomal RNA", at positions 2473 to 2597 of the family's 2925-position model. Lineage: Eukaryota; Metazoa; Arthropoda; Insecta; Diptera; Dolichopodidae. The record is from RNAcentral.